GACGAACGCUGGCGGCGUGCCUAAUACAUGCAAGUUGAGCGCUGAAGGUUGGUACUUGUACCCACUGGAUGAGCAGCGAACGGGUGAGUAACGCGUGGGGAAUCUGCCUUUGAGCGGGGGACAACAUUUGGAGACGAAUGCUAAUACCGCAUAAAAACUUUAAACACAAGUUUUAAGUUUGAAAGAUGCAAUUGCAUCACUCAAAGAUGAUCCCGCGUUGUAUUAGCUAGUUGGUGAGGUAAAGGCUCACCAAGGCGAUGAUACAUAGCCGACCUGAGAGGGUGAUCGGCCACAUUGGGACUGAGACACGGCCCAAACUCCUACGGGAGGCAGCAGUAGGGAAUCUUCGGCAAUGGACGAAAGUCUGACCGAGCAACGCCGCGUGAGUGAAGAAGGUUUUCGGAUCGUAAAACUCUGUUGGUAGAGAAGAACGUUGGUGAGAGUGGAAAGCUCAUCAAGUGACGGUAACUACCCAGAAAGGGACGGCUAACUACGUG
Molecule: ribosomal RNA, 497 nt
Filed under: uncultured bacterium
Lineage: Bacteria
Description: partial 16S ribosomal RNA
Rfam family: Bacterial small subunit ribosomal RNA
Source: RNAcentral